UUAAAGUCAAAAUUAUGACUUCCUGUUGGUCUUUUAUUUUUUCCUUCAUGGUGGAAAUGGGCUUCCAUAAUAACUCGCAAAAAGGAAAAAAAUAAAUUCUGGUCAGGAGUAUGUAAACAUGGCAUGAAACUUUUUGCCUUUGGUCUGGUCUUCAAACUUUCUCGUCCUUUUUUCCCCCCCUCACAGAUCUGCUGUGUAUAACACUGCAUGUGGCAGUAUUUUCUUCUUUUCAGACACUGUCUUCACAACAUUUGCCAGGUCAUCAAAAAGCUCCCACACAAAUGGAGCUCUCCGGCAGUAUGCAGUGUAAUGUCCCAGUCCAUCUUUGGUCAAGCUUCCCCUGAAAGCGACGACUGCUCUCAAAGUAAAUUUUUUUCCUUGCAGAACCAUAGUGGAGGGAAAUUCACUCAAAGCAAAUUCAGUUGAAUUUGGAAGGUCUGUGUCAAUCCAUGCUAUUUCUCCGAUACUGUAGUUGUGAGUAACGGUUCCUGCACAGAGAGCAUUUCCUGAAGUGCUGGCUCCUGUUUUUAAUUCUGCUGGACAUUCUGAUUCAUUCUGCAGUGGUCUGAGGCAGGGAGACUGUGGAAGGAAGAGUCCUUUUUCUAUGGAAGUGUGAAGCUGAGCCAUACCAGAAUUCUUCAGGACAGAAAUGUCUGGUGAAACAAAUGGUACUUCCCUGGUCAUUCCUUUGUUUAGGUGGCAGUAUUGUGAAGAGCAGUGUUUUGAGAGGUAAACACUUGACACAUUUCUCAUUGUCUUCCCAAUAACAGUGGCAAUAUUGCACUGUGCAUCGAUUUGGUGAGUGCCAGACCUUAACUGUGUUUUUGCAAACAUUGAACUAAGCAGAUCUGCCCUCUGCAAGUAUGUCCUUGGGGUCACACCAUCUGUAGUUAUGGAUUUCACCAGCUGCAGGAGAGGGUUGUCACUGUUAUUCAUGACAACAUUUUGAAAUGCAGAGCUGUCACAGAAAGUACAGCAUAAGCACUGACAAAAGGCAUCGAAGGCGCAGGUGUUUAACACAGAGAUUGACAGUUUACCAACAGUUGUCUCCCUUCAGAACACCUUGGUAUAAGAAGAUGUGGCCAGAUGUACCAUUUGGUCUUGUCAGUUUUCUGACAACUGAACCAGUUGCAUCAAAGCAAACUACUGAGGGACAUUUUUUGGUUGCCAGGUUUGGAAGGUGACUUGGCUCGGGAUCUCCAAUAUCCAUCAACUCUGAUGCCUUUGCUGACCUCCAUACAGAUGGUUCCAUCCUGCCCUCACACAACUCUUCUGAAAUCUGUGCACGAAGGGUUCCUGACAUGAAUCUUUUGGACUGGCCAGUGUGCAGCGAGAUGUCGGCGCCUUCAAUGGAACACUGGAGCACCAUUGGGCUGUUGACCGUUGGCUCUCUGUCACAUGUCAUUUUAACACGACUUUGACACUCUUUACAGAAACCUGUGAUGUCAAUGUACUUACUAGUGACAGUUGGAUAAACUUUUGCUCUUUGGAAUACAAAUGUACAAGUGCUUUUCAACUUUUUCCAAACCAGAUCAUUAAUUAUAUGACUCCAUGUGCCAGGUUUUAAAA
This is a long non-coding RNA of Gambusia affinis (western mosquitofish), 1569 nucleotides long. RefSeq lists it as uncharacterized. The record is from RefSeq and is a predicted model, not a curated record. NCBI's taxonomy places the organism in Eukaryota, Metazoa, Chordata, Actinopteri, Cyprinodontiformes, Poeciliidae. The transcript is spliced from 2 exons.